RNAcentral lists this ribosomal RNA (403 nucleotides) under uncultured bacterium. RNAcentral describes it as "bacterial SSU rRNA". It matches the Rfam family "Bacterial small subunit ribosomal RNA", at positions 355 to 774 of the family's 1533-position model. The record is from RNAcentral.
UAGGGAAUAUUGCAAAAUGGGCGAAAGCCCGAUGCAGCAACGCCGCGUGGGCGAUGAAGGCCUUCGGGUCGUAAAGCCCUUUUUGAGGGGAUGAGGAAGGACAGUACCCUCAGAAUAAGCCCCGGCUAACUACGUGCCAGCAGCCGCGGUAAUACGUAGGGGGCAAGCGUUGUCCGGAUUUACUGGGUGUAAAGGGUGCUCAGGCGGAUUUGUAAGUCAGAGGUGAAAUCUUACAGCUUAACUGUGAAACUGCCUUUGAUACUGCAAGCCUAGAGUAUGGAAGAGAGUGAUGGAAUAUCUGGUGUAGCAGUGAAAUGCGUAGAUAUCAGAUAGAACACCAAUGGCGAAGGCAGUCACUUGGUCCAUUACUGACGCUAAAGCACGAAAGCGUGGGUAGCAAACA